RNAcentral lists this ribosomal RNA (467 nucleotides) under uncultured bacterium. RNAcentral's name for it is "bacterial SSU rRNA". It matches the Rfam family "Bacterial small subunit ribosomal RNA", at positions 29 to 520 of the family's 1533-position model. The record is from RNAcentral.
AUUGAACGCUGGCGGCAUGCCUAACACAUGCAAGUCGAACGGCAGCACAGUAUGUAGCAAUACAUAUGGGUGGCGAGUGGCGGACGGGUGAGUAACGCGUGGGAAUCUGCCCUAUAGUGGGGGACAACCCGACGAAAGUCGGGCUAAUACCGCAUACGCCCUACGGGGAAAGGCUUCGGCCGCUAUUGGAUGAGCCCGCGUCGGAUUAGCUAGUUGGUGAGGUAAUGGCUCACCAAGGCGACGAUCCGUAGCUGGUCUGAGAGGACGAUCAGCCACACUGGGACUGAGACACGGCCCAGACUCCUACGGGAGGCAGCAGUGGGGAAUAUUGCACAAUGGGCGAAAGCCUGAUGCAGCAAUGCCGCGUGUGUGAAGAAGGCCUGCGGGUUGUAAAGCACUUUCGGUAGGGAAGAUAAUGACGGUACCUACAGAAGAAGCACCGGCUAACUCCGUGCCAGCAGCCGCGG